This 2875-nucleotide long non-coding RNA is filed under the name Ornithorhynchus anatinus (platypus). RNAcentral's name for it is "lncRNA (ENSOANG00000043249.1)". The record is from RNAcentral. Lineage: Eukaryota; Metazoa; Chordata; Mammalia; Monotremata; Ornithorhynchidae.
UUCAAGUGAUUUAAAAAAAAGGAGGGAGAAGGGCCGAUUUGAGUGCACCAAGAAGGAACAGAGUUUGCUACUCUGACUCUACCUCCAGCAGGAACCUGAUUGCAUUGACCUGUGAUGGUUUUCACACCUGAGACCCGUCACCUGAUCCUCUUAAUCCCCCUCACUUUUAGACCAAAAGAAGUUCACAGUAGAGGUUCUGGAAGUUUAGGGAGGUGUAAGGUUAAUUUUUCUAUGUUCAUGUUCUGUAAGGAGAUGUUACCAGUUAUUGAGAGGGCUGUGAGGAGGGUAAGAAUUUAAUGUAGGGGGCAAAAGUGUAUGUUUGAAUAAUCUUAUGUAGACAAAAUUAUCUUGGAGAGUGAACUUGGAGAAUAUGAGCCUAGAAGAAAGGUCGUGUUCAUGAAUUCUGUGGCAUUCUUGGAAGAAUUUCACCAAAGGUGUGACCAACACAGGAUGUUCAACUGACAAACACCACUGGCUGACCAGCUGUUUGAACUGGAGAGCUAUGGAGUGAAAGACCUUUGCCUAUUUAGCAGUCUCCUAAGGUAAUUACUUGGAACUGUUUUAGCUCUUUUCAGUUGACUGUGGUGUUUAGAAGAAAUGAUUGCAGUCUGUACCUUUAACAACAAAGAGCAGGCGAAAGGAUGGAUUACUUUAGCAAACAGUGGAGAAUUGAAUGCCACGACUGAGAUUGCACUGAGAGAUCUGGAAGCUGGAUUUGGAGGACAUUUCCAAUUGACUCAACAUACAAACCCAUGUGCCUGUACUGUUAUACCAUACUUUCUUCCAGUUAAGGAGAUUUUGUGGAUCUGGACAGCUUGCUGACCUCAUUGCUUCUCAUUCCAGUUUUUAGGGAAAAUAAAUAAUGGGAGCAAUCCAGACCCUCAGGAAAGUCCCUGGAGUCCCAGCAGGCUGAUGAUGGGGUGAAGGGGCACAAAGGGCUGUCAACACAAUUGAGUGGGCUCUGGAUGAGUCUGGUUGCAUGCUCAAGAAAACCCUCACCUGACAAAAACACCAUCUCCACAUUCUCAAUCUUAAAUUGUUUGUCUUUUUUGUGAUAAAUUGGAGCAAAAAGUUCUAUUCAUCAGUUACCUCCUUCAAAAAGGACACUCACAAGUGUACUGUUGAGAGAGGCAAGAUUCAUUAUUUUUUUCCCAUUCUGGGGGAAAGCUAAUAAGCACUUUAAUAAGCAUCAUCGUCAUCAUUAUUAUUAUUGGAAAAAAACACUCAAUGGAAGAGAGAAGGCAGUGGGAGGAAGGGUAAAAAGAUAAAGGAGGGGAGAAGAAAAUUCCCAAAGGAUUUUUGAAUCCCAGGCAAUAAAUGACAUCACUUAUCACUGGGCCAAGGGAUUGAAUUAUGCAAUGAGGCAACCUCAUCCCCAUUAGCAAGCUUCCUUCCUGGUACUGGCAAACAUUAAAGUGGAAUAUAGGUGCUAGGAUUUCUAUGCUGGGAGCAGCCCACCCAUCCAGUUCUCACGUUCUGAGUCUUAAAUCUGGAAGUCUGAGUGCUCUCAGAGCAGUGCUGAAUAUAUUCUUUGGAGAAAGGGUCUAUCUGCACUCUGGAGAGUCUUUACCUUUGAAACAUUCUGAAUGAGCCCUAGCCCCUGUCCACUAAAAACCGGCUCACUAAAACCGUUAAUACCCUAGAAUAGUUACUCAGAAAACCUGACGUUAGUUCCAUCUCUGGAGUCCCCAUAAUUUGGAGGUAUUUAUUUACCAAUCUUCAAUCCACUAUCUCCUUUGACUAAUUUUCAACUGUUGGGGGUAGCUUGAAUGUGUUCCAAGCCUCUCUUUUCCACCUAGAAAUGUGGGUCACUAAGGGCAGUCCAUUUACAAGAUACAUGUUCUUUAUGGGUUCCUUUAAAACAUCUGAUACUAUUCAGUGCCCAUUAGUCACAAGUGAAGACAUUAAAGGCAUCUCUAGUGGCACUGACUACCCACUGCUCCUCGGGGAACCAAAGUAUAGCACUUCCAUCUCUUAGUGAGCUCAUAAAGAUAUGUUGAACACAGGCCUUCAUAUUUUAAAUAUUUAUAAUCAUAUUUUAGAGGAGCAUAUUACUGGAGCAACAGCAACUAGCAAAUGAUGGAUAAAAAAUCUUUUAUUCUUCCCUUAAAUCAAUUUUUUUUGGUUCUAAAAAUGCAACAGAAAUGAAAACAAAAGGAGACCAGAACAUUAGCACCAAAAAGUCCUAGAAAUAUAAACCAAUUUUUGUGCUUUUCUUUAUCCAGUGGUGAUAUGACCGCAGAUGAAGAGGGUUAAAUAAAUGGAAAAUACUUAUUAAUGCACUUUAGAAUAAGAUCUCAUAUUUUAUAAUACUUCACCAAUCUUUGUUAUUCUUUCCUUCUUCCCACUGUCUAUUUUGUUGAAGACCUACUUUAAUAUUUCUCUGAAGUUUGAUGCACAUUCUAAAUAUUGGACCCUAAAAAUUACAGAGCUACAAAGCUAUUUUUUAAAGAAAUUAAUGCUUCAAUGUAAUUUUUUUUUGUACAAGGAUUUGUCCCCCAAAAUAUUAUGAUGAUAAUAUUGAAAAAUAGUUUGUACGAUCUUGUGCUGGGGCUUAUACCUGCAGUGAUAAAUAUGCAUUGUGAUACUUAGUCACAGCCAUCCAGCAUUCCUUAGGUCUUCUCUUGUCUCCUCUCUGACAGAGGUAGUGGUCAUUUGCUGUUAACAUCAUUAAACACAAAUAGUAUUUGAAAUUUUUAGAUAAUUGGCUCCUAAAGAUGUUACUAAGAUUACUGACCUGCAAUCUGGAAAAAGUAAAUUGCAAACAAUUUAUAAAAGGUGACUGGACAGAUGCCAGAGAAAGUCAAUGUGUCCCCCAGAAAUCAUCAUAAGUCUAAUUAAAAAACACUAGUGUGUUUUACUUGGGAAAGUAAUC